This 307-nucleotide unclassified non-coding RNA is filed under the name plant metagenome. RNAcentral's name for it is "partial contains 5.8S ribosomal RNA, internal transcribed spacer 2, and large subunit ribosomal RNA". The stretch from base 1 to 105 matches the Rfam family "5.8S ribosomal RNA", at positions 50 to 154 of the family's 154-position model. The record is from RNAcentral.
GAAAUGCGAUAAGUAGUGUGAAUUGCAGAAUGCAGUGAAUCAUCGAAUCUUUGAACGCACAUUGCGCCCCUCGGCAUUCCGUGGGGCAUGCCUGUUCGAGCGUCAUCUACACCCUCAAGCUCUGCUUGGUGUUGGGCGUCUGUCCCGCCUCCGCGCGCGGACUCGCCCCAAAUGCAUUGGCAGCGGUUCCUUGCCCCCCUCUUUGCGCAGCACAUUGCCAUUCGAGGCGGCGGCGGCCCGCGUCCAACAAGCUCAACCCCCCCGUCUUUGACCUCGGAUCAGGUAGGGAUACCCGCUGAACUUAAGC